RNAcentral lists this ribosomal RNA (468 nucleotides) under uncultured bacterium. RNAcentral's name for it is "partial 16S ribosomal RNA". It matches the Rfam family "Bacterial small subunit ribosomal RNA", at positions 28 to 507 of the family's 1533-position model. The record is from RNAcentral.
GACGAACGCUGGCGGCGUGCUUAACACAUGCAAGUCGAACGGAAAGGCCCUGCUUUUGUGGGGUGCUCGAGUGGCGAACGGGUGAGUAACACGUGAGUAACCUGCCCUUGACUUUGGGAUAACUUCAGGAAACUGGGGCUAAUACCGGAUAGGAGCUCCUGCUGCAUGGUGGGGGUUGGAAAGUUUCGGCGGUGGGGGAUGGACUCGCGGCUUAUCAGCUUGUUGGUGGGGUAGUGGCUUACCAAGGCUUUGACGGGUAGCCGGCCUGAGAGGGUGACCGGCCACCUUGGGACUGAGAUACGGCCCAGACUCCUACGGGAGGCAGCAGUGGGGAAUAUUGCACAAUGGGCGGAAGCCUGAUGCAGCAACGCCGCGUGCGGGAUGACGGCCUUCGGGUUGUAAACCGCUUUCGCCUGUGACGAAGCGUGAGUGACGGUAAUGGGUAAAGAAGCACCGGCUAACUACGUG